UAUCUGCCACAAUGACCAUGUAGAUCCCAGAAAACAAUCCUAUGGAGUCAGUUCUUCUUCUCCACCCUUAUUUGAAUUCAACUCAGGUCUCCAGGCUCACGUGGAUGGCAGAUGAGUCUAGACCAUGCAAAUGCCAGGAGAAGAGCCAAAAGGCAAAAUAUCUCUGUGCCAUCUCACACACCGAGAGCCCCCCAGAAGCCUCUGGGUUUCAUUUCCUCCAUCAGGAGCUCAGAUAACAGCAGCAGAGACAAACACACACGAGUUAAGAAUGCCAAUAAAGUUCUCAUUCCUUCUUCUGCUUUCUGUGGUGCUGGGGAUUGAACUCGGGACGUGUAAUAUCCCACACAGAUACUUUCCACUACUGAAUUACAUCUCCAGCCUUACAAUUUAAGGAAAAACACGGAGAAAAAUUAUAUCCUAUUGAAUAAAUCCUGGCUCUUCAAAACAAA
This 449-nucleotide long non-coding RNA is filed under the name Mus caroli (Ryukyu mouse). Its description in RNAcentral is "predicted gene 29347 (MGP_CAROLIEiJ_G0004484.1)". Lineage: Eukaryota; Metazoa; Chordata; Mammalia; Rodentia; Muridae. The record is from RNAcentral.